CGCGUAGGCGGGCGAGCCAGUCCGGGGUGAAAGCUUUCGGCUUAACCGGAAAAGGGCCUUGGAUACUGCUCGUCUGGAGGGAGGUAGGGGUCUGCGGAACUGCGGGUGGAGCGGUGAAAUGCGUUGAUAUCCGCAGGAACGCCGGUGGCGAAAGCGGCGGACUGGACCUCUUCUGACGCUGAGGCGCGAAAGCCAGGGGAGCGAAG
Molecule: ribosomal RNA, 206 nt
Filed under: uncultured bacterium
Lineage: Bacteria
Description: partial 16S ribosomal RNA
Rfam family: Bacterial small subunit ribosomal RNA
Source: RNAcentral